UCCGCGGUAGCUCAAUGGUAGAGCAGCUCGCUGUUAACGAGUUGGCUGUAGGUUCGAGUCCUACCCGCGGAG
Molecule: transfer RNA, 72 nt
Filed under: bacterium
Lineage: Bacteria
Description: tRNA-Asn
Rfam family: tRNA
About the family: Transfer RNA (tRNA) molecules are approximately 80 nucleotides in length. Their secondary structure includes four short double-helical elements and three loops (D, anti-codon, and T loops).
Source: RNAcentral